CUCUCUCUCUCUCUCUCUCUCUAUCGAAUUCCAUUCCAAAUCUAUAAAAAGUAUAUUUCUAGGGUUUCUUUCCUUUCCUUUCUUUUGUCUUCUCUUCGUCGACUUCUCAGAUUUCUAGGGUUUCGCUUAAAAAUUCCUUUUCUGGAGGUGGUUGCCAUUCCCUUCAAGAAAAAGAUUGGAUCAUUGAAUAUAUUUUAGAUUUUCUUCGAUUUUCAACGUUCUGCUGUUUAGAUCCUCGUUCUCUGUGUUUUUCUAGGGUUUCAAGUUCGUUCCUUUGAAAUUAGGGUUUUCAGCACGGUGAGAUUGGUGAAUUGUCAUCGUGGAGCAAAAUAUUCAAGAUUAGGUUUUUAUUCUUGCAAAUUAGGGUUUUUUUUCCUGGAAUUAGGUCUUAGAUUCGAUUUAGGGGUUUUUCUUGGUGUGAGGAAAAUCGGGGUUGCGGGGUACAUAUGGCAGCAGGAAGGCAUGGAGGUUACCUCGACCACGAAUUCAGGGACCGGGAAACGGAUCUUGGGGUGUCACAGCGGAGGGAUUUCUAUUACUACAAGGAAGGAUAUGGCCGAUACCGUGAUGUUGUCCGUGAGCCCGACUGUAACCGUGGUAGUCGUGAUCUUGAACGACAAAAGGAGCGGGAUUAUCAGGACAAGGCAAGAAGUAGGCGGAGGAAUGCUAAGGAGAGGGAGUUGGAGAAUGCAGGGUACCGAUCUUCUUCAAGCACGAGCAAUUCGGGUGGCAGAAGUAGUGGUUGGAAGAAAGGUGGGUUUUAUGUUAGAAAGGCUGAACGAGAGCCGGGGGAGUUGUCAAGUGGAAGUGGAUCUGAUGAUGGUGACAUAUCCGAACUGCAGGUUAGGCAGAAUGAGAAUCAGUUGGAAAAUGGGCCCAAGUCGCCGCCGGGUAGAAAGAGGAAGUUUUCCCCGAUUGUAUGGGAUAGAGAAGAAAGGAAGGUGAGUAAAUCUCCUAUAAAGAGAACUGAUCCACCGAAUGCCUCCCUGCCUCUGUCGCUGCCUCAAGACUUCUCCCAGUCACAGUCCCCCAAUCAUCAUGAGGUUGCAGAACCAUCUCAUAUCGAGCACACUAGCUUUCACAGGUCACCUUUCAGACCUGCCAUAGCACCUGGGUCCGCCGGGUCUGCAGUGUCAGAUUCGCCAGUUGCUUUUUCCCAGGGUUUGCCUCUCAAGCUGCACCAGGGCAAUGAUCAGGAACCCGGGCAGCUUGAAGAGGAAGACUAUGCUCCAAUGCUGAAUAUUGGAGCUUCACGAUGGGCUGAUAACAACAAUUCUUCUGCUGACGAAGGUGAGAUUUCUGAUGAGGAAGGCAUGACUAAAAGGAGAAAAAAGAUUGCCGUUGCUGAGUCAUUGGACACAAAGUUAAUCAAAAGGGUGCCAAGUCCUGAGCUUGGAGAGCUCUCAAGAGAAGGCUCUGAAGGAAUUCAAGCUAAGUCAUCCAGUUCUGAUGGUGAAGGUCGCCAUGCCAGGGCAGCUAGUGGAGAUGAAUAUGUUGAAAUUGAUUCUGAGAAAAAUGAUGUUAUGGAUGUUGACAGGGAAAGUGCUAAUGACUAUGUCAAUGGUCACCAGGUGGAAAUGGUUCCUAGUGAAAGUGAUUUACUUACACCACCAGAGCCAGCAACGGCCCCCCCAAGAAGCAUAAGCAUGUUACAGGGGUGUAGAAGUGUUCAUGAGUUCGAGAAAUUAAACAGGAUAGAUGAAGGCACUUAUGGUGUUGUUUUCAGGGCCAAAGAUAAGAAGACUGGGGAUAUUGUAGCAUUAAAGAAAGUGAAGAUGGAGAAAGAAAGAGAAGGUUUCCCCAUGACAUCUCUGAGGGAAAUUAACAUUCUUCUGUCAUUUCACCAUCCGUCAAUCGUGGAGGUUAAGGAAGUUGUAGUAGGGAGCAACCUUGAUAGCAUUUUCAUGGCUAUGGAGUACAUGGAGCAUGAUCUCAAGGGGCUGAUGGAAGUGAUGAAACAACCUUUUAGCCAGAGCGAGGUGAAGUGUAUAAUGUUACAGCUUUUGGAGGGAGUCAAGUAUCUUCAUGACAAUUGGGUGCUUCACAGGGAUUUGAAGACAUCAAAUCUUCUUAUGAAUAAUCGUGGUGAGCUGAAGAUUUGUGACUUUGGGUUGGCUCGCCAAUAUGGGAGCCCAUUGAAGCCUUAUACCCCCUUGGUAGUUACUCUGUGGUACAGGGCACCUGAGCUUCUAUUAGGAGCAAAGGAAUAUUCAACAGCUAUUGACAUGUGGUCCUUGGGCUGUAUAAUGGCCGAGCUUCUAGCAAAGGAACCGUUAUUCAAUGGGAAAACUGAAUUCGACCAGCUCGACAAGAUAUUUAGGACUCUUGGUACACCAAGUGAGAAGAUAUGGCCGGGAUUUGUCAAAUUGCCGGGUGUCAAGGUCAACUUCGUUAAGCAGCCGUACAACAAGCUACGUGAGAAGUUCCCACCAACAUCUUUCUCUGGACGCCCUACCCUUUCUGAGGCUGGCUUUGACUUGCUGAAUAAACUUCUUACGUAUGACCCUAGUCAGCGGAUAACAGCAGAAGCUGCUCUAAACCAUGAUUGGUUUAGUGAGGUCCCUGUGCCCAAAUCAAAAGAUUUUAUGCCGACAUUUCCUGCUCAACAUGCCCAAGACAGGCGUCAACGGAGAAUUUUGAAGAGCCCAGAUCCAUUAGAAGAGCAACGGCGGAAGGAUUUGCAGAGGAGUGAUUCAGGCAUGGGUGGCUUGUUUGGUUAAGUGAAAGAAUUCAUUGUACAGUUUCAUUGAGCUCCUCUGGUUAGGUUACUUGUGGAAUCCCAUGAGGUGAGAGACGUGCAUUGCAUGUGAAGUUGGAAACUUCUGUUAGUGAGACGACAAUUGAUGCUGUUCUUAGCAGGCACGCCAGAUGAUUCUUGAUGGAGAAAGAUACACUCUCUUGUUUUCUGCAAUCAAACAAAGUCUGUUGCAGGAUUUUUUUUUGUCCUCCAGCUUUGGCAAAUCAUGGCUUUGGCAAAUCAUAAAAAGUGCAUCCUUUGUGCAGCUGGCCUCGCAAGAAACGAUUGGUGUGAAGAGGAGGGCGUCCUUUGCUAUUUGUAUGUCCGAAGAAUUUGAAGAAAACCUUUCCACUGAAAAGUUGCAAUUGGCUGUGCUGUGGGACAAGGGGAUGCAAAAGCAAUAGGAUUGUCUCAGUGUGAUGCUAAUUUAUUUAUUUUGGUUUUACCAUGAAACUAUCUCCAUGAUAAGUCGGUCCUAUUCUAAUUUGGCUGCAAUCUAACAAAUUAUGUGAACACACUAAUACCUAAUAGUUGAAAUGUUUGUCGAUGUUAUUUUACUUGGUGAAUUUCAGUCUUUUAGUCACUGUACCUGGUGUGAGUGCUUUUGACGAUCUAAGUAUUUUAAUAAUUUUUGAUGUUUCUGCUGAUGCUGAUCUCCAACGAGAAAUGGAAAGUAGGUUCUUGAGAAUUUGUUUCAUGGAGGCACCUGCUUAUCUUCUGUGCAAGCCAUUGUCCUUUACUCCAUUCAGAUUUAGCGUCAGAGCGAGCUGAUUGAAGGGAGAGAUGAAACUGACACAAACCAACAGGAAUUUAUAGAAUUUCAGUUGUUUUUCCGCAUGGUCUGGAAAUGAUGUUGCUUUGAGAGCCCAGUGGUAAAUAGAGGUAGUGUGGCCAUUUCUUUCUUCUUUUCAGUUAAUAAAUGAUGUCUCCUGUGGGCAUCCAAUUUCUGACUGAACAUUUUUUUAUUGGGCGGCUUUUUUGGAUUAGUUUUGCCUAAUUUCAUUAGCAUGCUCUCUUUGCAAUACGUAUUGUGCAUUAAGUUGCAGGAACCUUCAACCUGGCUGUUGUACAUGCCUGCUCUGUGGUGCUCUUAUGCUUUGGAAUCUUGGUCCAGAACAGCAAGAAACUUCAGAUCCUUGUUCCAGAUGUACCUACGUAUGCAUAUUUUGACAUGUGGAGAAAGCUUUUGUGGUUAAGUUGAUCAGGUGUGGGUCUAUAACUCUGGUAACUUUUCUGCUUUGCUGGGUUUCCUACUAAGGAUACUUGCAUUGGGUGGUAGGUGUGCUUGGUUUACAAUAGAAUAAUGGAUGCAGCUUUUAAUUUUAGGUUUUCUAUGCCUUUUGAUUGAUGGCUGAGGAAUUGGUUUCCUCCCAAAGAUAAACGUUGAUGUUAAUGUUAGUUGGUUGCUAUUUUCUUCUUUGAUCUGUGUUCUCAACUGCCCUGUUUAGUUCUCAAGGAAUGCCAAGCACAGUCACAUGCUUGGGAGUAUGUGCUGGUUGGUCCACUUAAGCAAGGCACAUCCCAAAAUAUAUUCAGUCCCCUUAACAGUCUUGGCAUACUGCUGAGUGUGUGACUUUGCUAUUAGCAUUCCCCUUCUCUUUGUUUGCUUGUUUGUUUGCAGGGUGAUUGGAGAAAAUUCACUCUUAUCUAUGUACGCAUAUUCAACUCCAUGAGUUUGGCCUGAAGUGAAUGGGGAACAUGUUUUAGACAGUGGCAAUUCUUUGAGGGCUUUUAACAAUAAUUCCUUUAGCACACUUGGAACUGGUGUUCGUGUAGUCAAAAGUAAACUGUGCAAAAACCAUAGUGGUGGUGCCUGUUCUUGAUCGGCUUUGACCUCUUCUCAUAGUGUACAUUUUUUAUACACUUCUUUUGUAAGUUGGAUCCUGUAUGUUAUCUAAAAUUUCCAUAAUGGUUUCUGCCCUACUACUUUGAACGAUCUAUCUGAGUUGCCGUUUCUUUCACCACAACAUGCAGCCUUAUUCAUCUGGAAUGGCAUCAUGACUGCAUGAACAUCCGAAAGCUGCCCAAAAGAAGACAGUUGGGAGUCGGACGGUAGAACCAUGCGUUGGAGAAACUUCAUUCAUAUCUGAAGGGAGCUUUGUUGUAUUUAACUAAAUGGUGGUUCUUGUCCCAGCUAUAGAAAAAUGCAGUUGUAUGAUGCGUGCCUAAUUGGAAGUAGUGAUAAUUGCAAACAGUGUCCAUUAGCAGGUGGUGCUGCCCCGUAAUUUGCUGGGUCAUUUUACUUGCCUAUAUAUGUGGCACAAAUUUCAGGUAUUUAUAAUGGAUGACCUGGAUGGGUCCCACCAUGGGAAUGGGGGUUCAUCACAACGUGUGUUUCAAUAUGUGCAGCACACUUCUAAAACUUGCUGACUUUUAACUCGGAAUUUGCCAGCGCCACUUGCAGAAGUUGUAAACAAUAAAGUUGGGAGGGGAAGAUUCCAACUGAGUGCCCUAUUACCCCUUGUCAAAGGAAGCAGCAGCCUUAAGCCAGGGAAAGCAUGGGUAUUAUUGUUACUUUUAUAUUACUUUUGUGUGUCUAAGUUUUUAAAUAUAUAUAUUUAUAUUCAUAUAAUAAUUUCAAUUUAUAAUGAUUAAAUAUCGAGUUGAGUCUUCUGAGACAA
RNA transcript from Magnolia sinica, 5358 nucleotides. It is a transcript of the gene named cyclin-dependent kinase G-2-like, with no coding region annotated. The record is from RefSeq and is a predicted model, not a curated record. The transcript is spliced from 11 exons. Lineage: Eukaryota; Viridiplantae; Streptophyta; Magnoliopsida; Magnoliales; Magnoliaceae.